UUUUAAAAUUAUAAGUUUAAAAUUUAAAAAUUUAAAUUCAAUUAUAGAGGUAAUAUUAUUAUUUUCUAUUUAUAAUCAUCAACUAUUUUUCUUAUUCCUAAUAACCAUUCAAACAUAAUUUUUCUAGUUUCAGCUCAUACUCACAUUUUCAUCUAACAAAAAAAAAAUAUCUUUAUUUUUAUAAAAAUUUAUACUUGUAUCUAUUUUUGUAUUUUCUGUAUAACUAGUUUCUAGUAAUUGCUGAACAAAACGAGCCUAGAAAUCU
This 265-nucleotide long non-coding RNA is filed under the name Ananas comosus (pineapple). RNAcentral's name for it is "long non-coding RNA (ACOM_LNC031408)". The record is from RNAcentral. Lineage: Eukaryota; Viridiplantae; Streptophyta; Magnoliopsida; Poales; Bromeliaceae.